Molecule: transfer RNA, 75 nt
Filed under: Candidatus Doudnaibacteriota bacterium
Lineage: Bacteria; Candidatus Doudnaibacteriota
Also listed under: 1 other name
Description: Candidatus Doudnabacteria bacterium tRNA-Glu
Rfam family: tRNA
About the family: Transfer RNA (tRNA) molecules are approximately 80 nucleotides in length. Their secondary structure includes four short double-helical elements and three loops (D, anti-codon, and T loops). Further hydrogen bonds mediate the characteristic L-shaped molecular structure. tRNAs have two regions of fundamental functional importance: the anti-codon, which is responsible for specific mRNA codon recognition, and the 3' end, to which the tRNAs corresponding amino acid is attached (by aminoacyl-tRNA synthetases). tRNAs cope with the degeneracy of the genetic code in two manners: having more than one tRNA (with a specific anti-codon) for a particular amino acid; and 'wobble' base-pairing, i.e. permitting non-standard base-pairing at the 3rd anti-codon position.
Source: RNAcentral
GGCCCUAUCGUCUAGUGGUUAGGACGCGAGGUUCUCAUCCUCGAAACCGGGGUUCGAUUCCCCGUAGGGCCGCCA